This 486-nucleotide long non-coding RNA is filed under the name Equus asinus (donkey). Its description in RNAcentral is "lncRNA (ENSEASG00005030205.1)". Lineage: Eukaryota; Metazoa; Chordata; Mammalia; Perissodactyla; Equidae. The record is from RNAcentral.
CUGACUGACAAAUAGAAGUGCACAGAAGAUGGCGAAUGAACGAACAAAACAAAGCCUUAAAAAAAGGUGCUGAUCUGCGUCUACCUGAAGUGGCUACUUGUACACAAAUCCACACCUGCCAGAUCUGCACCAACUCAGAACCGAGGCAGGAGAGAGAAAAUACUGACCCACUUACAGCGUUGGUGCCACCCGACUCCUCAGCCGCCCGGAAGCCGAUCGUCUGCCUUUCCCCACCGCGUCAGCGCCGUGUCCCGAGCUGAAGGCCGGCGAGGAUGGCGCAGGCAGAGCUUGGUUUCACGGACAAGCAGUUCAGAGUCACGUUCGAGGCAAUUUUUCCAGUUAGGAUGGCUGACUCAAAUUUCAGUUUUUCUUUGCUUCUCGGUUUUGAGGUACCAGAUGUGCUAAGCAUAAUAUGACAUAUUGUUAUCUUUAUUUAUUAGUCUCUGAGAAUUAAUUAUCUUUAGCUGAUACGAAGCUCGCCUCUCC